AUAGAUCGCUUUCGCAUAUGGGCCAAAGGAGGUGAUGGUGGCAGCGGUUGUACCAGUAUCCGUCGUAGUCGACAUGAUCGCCGUGGCAUACCUGACGGUUUGUUCUCUAAUCAGUUCAUACCUCAUGGGUGGUGGGGAGGCAAUAUGUGACUAGUUGACUGCCAUCUUCCAUCUUUGCAUCCUUUUCGUCGUAGUCGACACGAUCGCCGUGGCAUACCUGACGGUUUGUUCUCUAAUCAGUUCAUACCUCAUGGUGGUGGGGAGGCAAUAUGUCACUAGUUGACUGCGUCUUCCAUCUUUGCAUCCUUUUCUUUCCCCUAAUUGAAGUUCUAUUUCCAAUUUUAUUAUCAUUCAUCUCUUGCAUGCUCUUUUUCUCCUUCAAUUUUUCUCUGUUAAAACAUUGCUUGGCUGUGCAUUUCGUCCCUUGGUUCUUCAUAAGAUAUUUGGUUUAACUACUAUUAUCUUUUACUUGACAUGUUUGAAAUACAGAAGAUAUACUCACCAACUGAAUUAACAAUUAAGAUACUAUCAACGAAAUCAAGACACUCACUAAUUUAAUGGUAGAUGAUACAAGUUAGACAUCCAAUACAUCAGAUAUCUAACCUGAAUUUUAGAUAUCAACUAUUUACCAGUAAAGUUUGAACCAAAAACCAACCAUUCCAGCGGCUUUAGUCCCAAGGCUAAUUACUUCAUCUGUUGGUCGGAUGCCUGAAAAACUUUUUUGUAGCAAAAAAUUCAAUGGACAAAGAAAACCAAUUAUUUGUAUAGUUAGAAUUCUCCACAUCCCCAAAUAUAGAAAGAAAAAUAAAAGAGAAACUCUUACACCAUAAUUGAAAAAGUAGCUACUUUUAUGAGGCCGGGAAUUGAGAAAACUGAAGGAUGGGUUUAUAAUGAACUGAAAAUUGCAACUUUGAGUCUUAGUGGAGAAUCUUAUGAUUCGGGGUAAUUUGGUAUGCAACUGAAAGUCUGAAACCCCUAUAAAAUUCUAGUCAUUCAGGGAAGUGGAAAUUGCAACUUUCUGUGUCAUCGUUUGAAGCGCACACUUCUUUCGAGCACAUGAUUGAGUCGCUUGUUCAUAAUUUCACCUCACUUCUGCCAUCCUCCAUCUCUGUGUAUUCCCCUUGGACUUCACUCCUGAAACAAUUACUCUCACGUCGCAUCGCUUGAUUGAUGUAAGCAAUGACUUACAAUAACACUGGCUUAAAGAUUGACUUUUCAAUGUUGACCUCCUAGUUAAGUUGCCCCGCCUUUUUUUUCCAGUAAAUUUUCCCAAAAGGUUUAUUUGUGCAUUAUCUUCCAAGUCUGUCCUUUGUUGGUUCUUAUUUUCUUUUAAUUUUCUUCAUACAAUACCUUUUGUAAGUAACUCAUUUAAGAUAUGCAGACAAGCUUGAUUUGUUAUAGGGACCAGUUGUAGGAUUUUCUCUGUUCUUACCUCAUUUUUGUACUGGAUGCAGGUGGGAAUGGUG
Molecule: long non-coding RNA, 1466 nt
Filed under: Nicotiana benthamiana
Lineage: Eukaryota; Viridiplantae; Streptophyta; Magnoliopsida; Solanales; Solanaceae
Description: long non-coding RNA (NBEN_LNC041369)
Source: RNAcentral